UAAACACAAAAGUCUUGUUAGAAGACAUUUAUUUGGGAUGAGGAAAGGAAACUGAGGACAGGGUACAGGAGUAAUAGCAAUUCCCUGUAGCUCUCAAAGCAAAUUUUGAGCUCAUUUUUCUUUUUCUGCAAGCUCAGCAGCAGAAUGCCCAGAGUCUUCCCUGGUAGAUGCAGGUUCCAUAGCGACGUUCUCCUGCAAUGCACGCUGGUAUUCUGCAAUAGCAGUCCAUGUUUUUCCUUGAGCCUGGGACAGGGAGAGCAUGAGAAAUUGAGUAUGGAGUUAGCAGUGGGUAAGAAAAAGAAUCUCGGGGAAGUCACAUGCUAGCUGACAGGUGAUGCUGGCUGCAUUGCAGCCGUUAGCACGAACAACCUCAGUCGAUAGGAAUAAACACGCAGAGCAGUGCUUGUCACACAGAAUUUGAGACUCAUUCUCCUUUGCUCUCAUUUUUGCAUUCCUGCCCCAUCACACACACACCUGAACAUACCCUCAGGCUUGGCUGCAGUUUUUAAAAGCUCUUCUGUAGAGUAAAAUGUUCUCUUUACAACUAAGUCUACUUGUUUAGAUCCAGAAAUAACUAGUCUGUCUCUUCAUAUCUUAAACUUAGUGAAUUUCACAGAUGUUUCUUGGAAUCAAGUCUUUGGAGAAAUAAAGUUUCUCAGGUUUAUUUGGCUCUCUGUUCAAUUUCUAGAUGAGAAAAUCAAUGCCCAGAGAUUCUAAGUGAAGCCACCUCAGUGACAUAGACUGCUGAGACCCAACUCUGGAACCUCUCUCCCGUCCUUCCCUCUAGACUUAGCAGCUCUGCAUGCCUGCCUC
Molecule: long non-coding RNA, 813 nt
Filed under: Homo sapiens (human)
Lineage: Eukaryota; Metazoa; Chordata; Mammalia; Primates; Hominidae
Description: HSALNT0344825
Source: RNAcentral